GGAUAUUUUGUCUGUUGGAAGAAACAUCAGAAGAAAUCUGCUGCCUUUGAUCUCAAUGGAAGGAACUUUAUCAGAUGAUCCUAAUGAUGACAAAACAACUGAAAGGUCUGGAAGAUCUCGCAUACAGUUGACUAUGGAGGUGACUAACAAUCUCUGAGCAGCACAGAUCUGGAUCACUAGCUUUCUCUGAAUUGGCCAACUUCUUGCAAGUAACCCUGUUUAAGAUGUCUGGACUUCAAGAUUCUAAAACAAUUGACCUUUUCUAUAACCUCUCAACAGAUGGUCCAGCUUAUUUUACAGGGACAACACCAACAAAAGCCCUAGACAGAUCCUGCUUUGUCUCAGGAGGUUUAUGCUGGUCUUUUACUUGUUUAGGUUAGUUUAUUAUAUUCAUUCUUAUUGAACAAAAGGAGGGUUUGACAAUGUCAGCUCUGUAUUUAUCUGAGCUCUGUAUUCCUGGAAAACAUUGAUGGUUAAUAAAUCCCCCAACUUUUGUGUUCAGUUUCUUACUGAAAA
This is a long non-coding RNA of Leopardus geoffroyi (Geoffroy's cat), 516 nucleotides long. RefSeq lists it as uncharacterized. The record is from RefSeq and is a predicted model, not a curated record. The transcript has 3 exons. NCBI's taxonomy places the organism in Eukaryota, Metazoa, Chordata, Mammalia, Carnivora, Felidae.